GAUGAACGCUAGCGGCAGGCCUAACACAUGCAAGUCGAGGGGCAGCACAGAAACAGCAAUGUUUUGGUGGCGACCGGCGGACGGGUGCGUAACGCGUCUCCAACCUACCUUUAACAGGGGGAUACCGGAGAGAAAUUUCACCUAAUACCCCAUACCAUCGAACAAGGCAUCUUGAUUGUUUGAAAACUCCGGUGUUUAAAGAUGGGCAUGAGUUGUAUUAGGUAGUUGGUGAGGUAAUGGCUCACCAAGCCUACGAUACAUAGGGGGACUGAGAGGUUAGCCCCCCACACUGGCACUGAGACACGGACCAGACUCCUACGGGAGGCAGCAGUGAGGAAUAUUGGUCAAUGGGGGCAACCCUGAACCAGCCAUGCCGCGUGCAGGAAGACGGCUCUAUGAGUUGUAAACUGCUUUUAAACAGGGAUAAAGCACAGUAUGUAUACUGUGUUGAAGGUACUGUAAGAAUAAGGAUCGGCUAACUCCGUGCCAGCCGCCGCCGUAA
Molecule: ribosomal RNA, 502 nt
Filed under: uncultured bacterium
Lineage: Bacteria
Description: partial 16S ribosomal RNA
Rfam family: Bacterial small subunit ribosomal RNA
Source: RNAcentral